UCCAGGCCCUGAGCUCUUGGCUUCCUAGACCUUACCCAGCCUCUUCACCGACUAAGCUGUGUGGUCUCGGACAAAUUGCUUAACCUCUCUGUCUCAACUGUUCCAUCUGUAGGUAAACUUUGCAAGUGUGACCCGAAAAGAAAGCACUGGGCACAAGUCGGACCCAAACAACCAAUGUGUCCUAUUGUAUUGUGUACUGCCGCUCCGUUGUUUCAGUGUCACAAUCGAUGGCCCCUUCACUGGUACCUCGUGGGACCCAGGACCCAUAUUCUAGACGGCUUAAAUUGAGGUCACCUCAUUUUAAGCUACGUUUCGUGCUCCCUCGACCCCAUUCAGGAAGGCACGAAGGUUUCCCCCUCUCGACCCGGGACACUGAGGCUCGACUGGGGUCGGGUCAAGUAGUUUGCCCAAGAGCCCUGCUGACCAAGGCAGGGUAGCAGCCCUGUUAGGGCCCAGUCUCGGGUCCCCACUUCUCUCUGGAGCCCUUUCCAGGAGACCUCAGCCGGGCGCUUCUCGGUUCCCAGCACCCUGGAGACAGCAAGCCCCGUAGGGUCCUACAGUGAUGACGGGACGGGACGACGUUCUUCAAACUCGGACCGCUCUGCUCCAGCCCCCUUCCACACACUCCCCCCCAGUUCCCAGACCCCCAUCCCCACCUCCCCCUUGGUCCUGCCUUUACGCAGGCAAAAGCUUUAAACCAACUGAGAGCUUGGCCUCAACCUAGGUUCUGCUCCAGCCCACAAAGCCCUUCGAGAGAACUGGGAAGUGGUGGGCGCGGUUACACCUCGCCGCGCGGAAGGGGCGGGGCAUUCAAAUGAGAAAUGGCCUCUGGGUGAGCGACGAAGCAACGACAGAGAACACAAUUUCUCUUUUAAAAGGCAGAGAUUUCAAAAUCUGCACAAGAGCCUGCUGCCUAGUGUGGCCCCCAUACCAAAGUCCGAGAAGCGAGGGAAGUGAGACCUCGAAGGAGGGUGACCUGGCUCACCGUGAAUGCAAUGUGGGUGACGGCAGGGCGGUGGCAGGGAGGCGACCUACGGGCGGUAUCGCUUCUCGGCCUUUUGGCUAAGAUCAAGUGUAGUAUCUGUUCUUAUCAGUUUAAUAUCUGAUACGUCUUCUAUCCGAGGACAACAUAUUAAAUGGAUUUUUGGAGCUGGGAGAUGGAAUAGGAGCUUGCUCCGUCCACUCCACGCAUCGACCUGGUAUUGCAGUACUUCCGGGAACGGUGUCUUCCUCCCUCUUGGGGGAGGUAAUACUUGUGGUGCUCAAGAUCAGCGUGCGGUCGUAAACGUGCUUCGGGUCCUGCUCAUGGGGAUGGUGGGGGACGCAUCGCCAGGCGUUUGCAGUUCCUCUUCUUCUUUUGGGGGCUGGCGUGCUCGACGACGGGCGCCUGUAAGAUAGCGCGGAGCCUUGCUUUUUCCGAAACCGUUGUUGUCAGCUGCGUCCUCUGGGCAGUAGCAACUAGGAGUGGCUUCGCAACGACACCUGCUGUGAGGGCUUAAGUUUCCAAAUCCUUGCUCCCAGAUGGCACGGGUGUGGAGUCCGACUAAGCCCGACACACGGUCACCUCUCUUACUACUUCCGUCUGCUGGUCUUGCUCCUGAGUGGGGUCUAUGGCAUGUAAGUGACUGAAUACUGUAAGCAGGUGGUUUGUUUUGUCUUAAUUUUAGUGUUUACUUGUUUUUCAAACAGUGUGAGCGGAAGAGGGGCAGAGAGAGAGAGAGAGAGAGACCCCCCCCCCCCCGCGCCGACACGGGCCGGAACCCACGAACUGCGAGAUCAUGAUCUGAGAGCCGAAGUCGGAGGCCCAACCAGACUGAGCCACCCAGGCGCCCCAAGUCGGUGGUCAUUUCUUAGGAGGAAGGUUAUCAUCGUAGGAGGUCAUUACCUACAAAGUGCUCCCUUUUGCCUUCUGCACAAAGGCUGACACAGAAAGAAGGAAAGAAAGAAGAGACACCCAAAUCUAGAACACCGACCACGUAAUUUCUUCUCGUGUUCCUAGUCUGUUGCCCUGUGUCGUUAUGUGCCCUUUUACGGGUCCCCUCAGGUCCCGACAGAAAUAGCAAGAUGUCAUCUC
Long non-coding RNA from Felis catus (domestic cat), 2074 nucleotides. RefSeq lists it as uncharacterized. The transcript is spliced from 2 exons. The record is from RefSeq and is a predicted model, not a curated record. Lineage: Eukaryota; Metazoa; Chordata; Mammalia; Carnivora; Felidae.